This 774-nucleotide ribosomal RNA is filed under the name uncultured Neocallimastigales. Its description in RNAcentral is "partial large subunit ribosomal RNA". It matches the Rfam family "Eukaryotic large subunit ribosomal RNA", at positions 24 to 633 of the family's 3401-position model. Lineage: Eukaryota; Fungi; Neocallimastigomycota; Neocallimastigomycetes; Neocallimastigales. The record is from RNAcentral.
UAUGUGAUCGUCUCUCGCAUAUCAAUAAGCGGAGGAAAAGAAACUAACAAGGAUUCCCCUAGUAACGGCGAGUGAAGCGGGAAGAGCUCAAAUUUGAAAUCUUAAAGGGUUUCCCUUUACGAAUUGUAGUUUAAAGAAGUGUUUUCUGUUGAGGUUUUGGUAAAAGUUCUUUGGAGUAGGACAUCAUAGAGGGUGAGAAUCCCGUAUUUGACCUUUACUUUCAACUUUGUGAUACACUUUCAAAGAGUCGGAUUGUUUGGGAAUGCAGUCCAAAAUGGGUGGUAAAUUUCAUCUAAAGCUAAAUAUUGGCGAGAGACCGAUAGCGAACAAGUACCGUGAGGGAAAGAUGAAAAGAACUUUGAAAAGAGAGUUAAACAGUACGUGAAAUUGUCAAAAGGGAAGCGUUUGACACCAGUGUUGUUUUUCUGAAAAUCAAUUAAAGAACUGUUUAUGCUAAGUUGUUUAGACUUUAUCAGCUAACUGUUUAGUUUUGAGCUUUUCUUUAAUGCACUUUUCAGUUAACAAGUCAACAUCAAUUUCUUUUGCUGUAAAAAAGCUUGAGGAAGGUGGCUUGAGAUUCGUCUUAAGUGUUUAUAGCCUCUUGCCUAUGCAGUCGGAGAGAUUGAGGUCUGCAGCGUAGAUCCUCCGGGGCUAAAUGCAUUUGUGCUAAGUUAUAGCAUUUUAUAGACAACUUGUUGACUAUGAUUUGUCUUGUAGCUUACUCGCUUAUGUUAUUUUACCUACGCUUAGGAUGUUGAAGACUCUACAGAGAUA